AUGAAAAAGCAAGGAGCUACACUCAGGCUGCAAGUGGUGACAGUGCCUAGGGCUUUGAUGUGUCUCUCACGGUUCCUAAAGUGUGAGACAGCUGCCUUGUGGGGACUGAGUGAUGCUCGGUCCCACUUUGUGACGUCAGAUCCCCAGACUCCCUUUUCUGCAGCUGCAUCUGAAUGUGUCUGUGCUCCUAUUAGCAUAACGUGAGGAGGUGGGGAGACUGGCCCAUCCCUGCCCACCACGGCCUCUCCCCAUCCUGACCUGUGUUCUCCUCCCUGAUCUACUGUCCUGUUCCAGCAGAGACAGGGCUGGACCCUCUCCAUCGCUGUCUUCACUGGGUCAUUAUGUCAUAUUUCCUUUGAAAAUAAAAUCUAUUUACAAGAGUGAUUUUUCUAACUGGUGCCGUGAAGGGUUGUAGGGAUAGCAAAGGAGAGGAUUCCUAAAGUUUGAGAGAGGAA
Molecule: long non-coding RNA, 455 nt
Filed under: Cervus hanglu yarkandensis (Yarkand deer)
Lineage: Eukaryota; Metazoa; Chordata; Mammalia; Artiodactyla; Cervidae
Description: lncRNA (ENSCHYG00000006177.1)
Source: RNAcentral